RNAcentral lists this microRNA (20 nucleotides) under Zea mays. RNAcentral's name for it is "microRNA miR-3097". Lineage: Eukaryota; Viridiplantae; Streptophyta; Magnoliopsida; Poales; Poaceae. The record is from RNAcentral.
AAUUAAAAGUGUCGGUUUCU